GACGAACGCUGGCGGCGCGCUUAACACAUGCAAGUCGAGCGAUGAAACUUUAACAGAACCCUUCGGGGCGUAGAUAAAGUGGAUUAGCGGCGGACGGGUUAGUAACACGUUAGUAACCUGCCGUAGACAUUGGGAUAGCCUCGGGAAACCGGGAUUAAUACCACAUAAAAUCAUAAUGACACAUGUCAUAACGAUCAAAACUCCGGUGGUCUAAGAUGGACUCGCGUCCCAUUAGCUAGUUGGUAGAGUAAAAGCCUACCAAGGCGACGAUGGGUAGCCGGGAUGAGAGACUGAACGGCGACAUUGGAACUGGGAAGCGGUCCAAACUCCUACGGGAGGGAGCAGUGGGGAAUAUUGCACAAUGGAGGGAACUAUGAUGCAGCGCCGCUGCGUGAACGAAGAAGGCUUUAGAGUAGUAAAGUUCUUUUAUAUGGGAAGAUAAUGACGGUACCAUAAGAAAAAGCCCCGGCUAACUACGUG
RNAcentral lists this ribosomal RNA (480 nucleotides) under uncultured bacterium. RNAcentral's name for it is "partial 16S ribosomal RNA". It matches the Rfam family "Bacterial small subunit ribosomal RNA", at positions 28 to 507 of the family's 1533-position model. The record is from RNAcentral.